GCACAUUGCUUUGCAACACGGUAUAACCGUAGUAACUCUAUGGCUAAUACGAGUAAAAGACUCUCUUAAUUGAGAGGUGCAUAUUAGCACAAAACCUCUUUUGGUUGAAUCAUAAUAUUUCUCUGAUCGUCCCUGACGACAUGCCAUUCAAGUUUCUACCCUAUCAGCUUUCGACGGUAGACUAUUGGCCUACCGUGGCUUUGACGGGUAACGGGGAAUCAAGGUUCGGUUCCGGAAAGGCAGCCUGAGAAACGGCUACCACAUCCACGGUAGGCAGCAGGCGCGCUAAUUACCCAAUUCUGACUCAGAGAGGUAGUGACAAGAAAUAACGAUCGGCAGCAACAUUGUUGCCAAUUCGGAAUGAGAACAACGUAAAUCCCUUAUCGAUAAACAAGCGGUGGGCAAGCCUGGUGCCAGCAGCCGCGGUAAUACCAGCACCGCUAACGUAUACUAAAAUUGUUGCUGUUAAAAAGCUCGUAGUUGGAUAUCAGCCAGACAGGUGUUGACCAUCCCUUAUACGGGAGUGGGUCAUGAGCCUUCAGGCUUAUUUCAGGUUGGCGCUCUGCCCAUUCAUCUGGGUGGGUCUCCGCUUCCUGAUCAUUUACUUUGAAAAAAUUUAAAGCGCGCAAAGCAGGCUUUUGCCUGAAUGCAUUAACAUGGAAUAAUACAAAACGACUUUGGCGUCGCCCCUCGGGGUGAUAAUUUAUUGGUUUUGAACCAGAGUAAUGAUUGAUAGGAACGAUUGGGGGUGCUAGUAUCGCCGGGCCAGGGCUAAAAUUCUUUAAUUCCGGUGAGACUAACUUAUUCGAAAGCAUUCACCAAGGGCGUUUCCUUGAAUCAAGAACUAAAGAUCGGGGAUCGAAGACGAUCAGAUACCGUCUUAGUCCGAACUAUAAACUAUGUCGACUAAGAGUUGGGGGCCAUACUUCCCCAGAUCUUAAUGAGAAAUCAAAGUUUCUGGACUCAGGGGAGGUAUGCUCGCAAGUGUUAAACUUAAAGGAUUUGACGGAAAGGCACCACCAGAUGUGGAGCCUGCGGCUUAAUUUGACUAAACACGGGAAUACUUACCAGGUCCAGACAUAGUAAGGAUUGACAGAUUGAAGUUCUUUCAUGAUUCUAUGCAUGGUGGUGCAUGGCCGUUUUAGUCGGUGGAGUGAUUUGUCUGGUUAAUUAUGAUAAUGGACGAGACCUCAGCCAUUUAACUAGCUGACCCUAUGUAAAACUAGGGGGUACCUGGCACGACAGCUUCUUAGCGGGACAAUUUGUGUUUAGCAAAUGGAAGUUAGAGGCAAUAACAGGUCAGUGAUGCCCUUAGAUGCUCUGGGCUGCACGCGCACUACAAUGGCUCAUUCAACGAGUAGCUGACUUGCGAAAGUUUGGCCAAUCUCAAAAGUGAGUCGUAGUUGGGAUAGAUGAUUGCAAUUGUUCAUCUUGAACAAUGAAUAUCUCGUAAACGCAGGUCAUCAACCUGCAUUGAUUACGUCCCUGCCUUUUGUACACACCACCCGUCGCUUCUACCGAUUGAAUAAUCCGGUGAACUAGGUGGAUAUGGCGGCCUUUCCUUCGGGCCUGGCAGCUGUAG
This 1582-nucleotide ribosomal RNA is filed under the name Haplosporidia sp. SS-2011. Its description in RNAcentral is "SSU rRNA". It matches the Rfam family "Eukaryotic small subunit ribosomal RNA", at positions 124 to 1751 of the family's 1831-position model. Lineage: Eukaryota; Endomyxa; Ascetosporea; Haplosporida. The record is from RNAcentral.